UUUGGAAGCGUUCAGGAUUUCGAGAGUCCGCCAUCCCAGCCAGUCAUGGCGAGUGGCGAUCGUCACUGCGGCUGCUGGAGUACUGCACGACGCCAACUCUCACAGAAGGAAUCGGACGUUGAAAAUUGAGGCGCCAAGAACUGUGACUUCGAAAUGGAACGCUAUGUUUUCAAGUACGGUAAUGACGCAGUCUGAAGGAAAUAAGCAGAACCCGAGACGUACUAUUUCAAGCCUUCUGGAUGUAAUGCGCUUCAAGAAAUCCACCAUCCGAUUCAGUUGUGGCGACCGCUCUGCCACUACGGUUGCUGCUCCAUGCUAACCCUCACAAUAGGAAGCGGGCAUUCAAAUGAUGCUGGCCGUUGAGAUUCAACUUGGUGCCAAGAACUGUCACCGCUAUGAAGUCCAAAGGAAAGAGAGAAAAAAUUCCAUGUCAUUGCAUUUUAUGACAGCGACUUUCCUCUGCGAUGAGGUUCCUGAUAUUAACAAAGGGGAGCAUUGAACAGUAUGCCUUUUGCGGCUGAAGGCGCCAGCGGCAUGCUGAGUAUCGACUGAUUCAGAGCUGGAAACUACCUCGGGGAAUUCUGGGCCUGUGUACCUGCGGAUGCUUUCUAACGGUUAACUAAUGGAGAAGGUUCCCAAAUCUGCAUUUACUCAAUUUUAUUUUCUGUCUUUUACUUCUAAAUUUUUCUCUAAACUCACGGUCAA
Momordica charantia (bitter melon) is the source of this 705-nucleotide long non-coding RNA. RefSeq lists it as uncharacterized. Lineage: Eukaryota; Viridiplantae; Streptophyta; Magnoliopsida; Cucurbitales; Cucurbitaceae. The record is from RefSeq and is a predicted model, not a curated record.